This 1214-nucleotide long non-coding RNA is filed under the name Heterocephalus glaber (naked mole-rat). RNAcentral describes it as "lncRNA (ENSHGLG00000049450.1)". Lineage: Eukaryota; Metazoa; Chordata; Mammalia; Rodentia; Bathyergidae. The record is from RNAcentral.
ACAGAUAGCUCAAGGCUGCUUUUCUUCUCGGUUGUUAGGGAUCGUCAGAGUGUGGGAAAUGUGAGGUUUUCUGCGCAUGCACCAACUCCCUUUUGCAGCAGAGCUGGCAUUCACUAACUUCCUCUGAUGUAUUUGGUAUCUAAUAGAAAUAUCUAAAUGCUGUGGGCUAUCUUUCUGAGUCUAGCAGGAAACAAGCCCCUUUCAGUGUGGAAGCCAGAGGUAGUUGGAUGCAGCUGAGCCCUGGCACAGGUGCUGGGGGAACUGAGAAUGCAAACCACAGGCAGUGAGGCAACUUGGAGAUGAAGCAACCAGAGGGAAACCACUGCCAUCCCUAAGUGCAGGGACAAAGGGAGGAGUGAGGGUGACUGCAGGGGCAACUGGCUCUGCCAGAAGCUGGAACUACAGCGGUCCAUCUGGCGAGCUUGCCGGAGGGCACAGUUGGUGCCACAAACGUCCUUAGCUCCCUUGCCUGUAGGACUCAUUCUGCAGUCCAUAGAGCAGAGGAGUGAGGAAUGGACCUGGGGACAAGCUGGCCCAGGACCAGAACUCAACAAGAGAAGUAACUAAGACAGAGGUGGCUGCUGCUGCUGCUGCUGCUGCUGCUGUGCUGUGAAAUACACUUUGAGAAACAAGACCCUUCUUGUGAAGAGAAGCCUACCAAGCUCCAAAGAGAUCUUUAGGUGAUAAACUUUUUAAAACUUUCCUCCAAGUCUUUAGCAACAGUUCAGUACAUGUUGAUUGAAAUAAUCAUUUGUUAGUUUAGUAUUUACACAUGUGUGUUAUGUUUCCAUGUGUUUGAACUUUUUUUUUGCGGUACUGGGCAUUGGAUUCAGGGUCUUUGCACUGAGCUGUAUCACCAGGCCUUGUUUUAUUUUUUCUUUUGAGACUGGAUCUUGCUAAAUUGCUUAGUUGCUCAGGCUGGGUUGAGGUUGUGAUCCUCGUGCCUCAGCCUCCCAGGGUGGGUGCUGGGAUUACAGGCUUGUGCCACCACAUCUAGCUGUGUUUGAACUCUUUAGAGUUGAAACUGUCUCCAGCAGACAUGUGGGUUCAUUUGAAUUACCUGACCAUAAUACGCAAUGCUGACUGCGAUCUCAUAGCCAGAGUGUAAGGAGUGGAGCUAAUAUGCAGUGCUGACUGGUAAGGUAACCAGCAUAUUAGAUGGUAUUUUGAAGUUUGAGUAAACAACAGUGUAAUUCUGUGAAGCUAUCAUCUAC